Molecule: ribosomal RNA, 253 nt
Filed under: uncultured bacterium
Lineage: Bacteria
Description: partial 16S ribosomal RNA
Rfam family: Bacterial small subunit ribosomal RNA
Source: RNAcentral
UACGUAGGGAGCAAGCGUUGUUCGGAUUUACUGGGCGUAAAGGGCGCGUAGGCGGCGCGGUAAGUCACUUGUGAAAUCUCCGGGCUUAACUCGGAACGGUCAAGUGAUACUGUCGCGCUAGAGUGCGGAAGGGGCAAUCAGAAUUCUUGGUGUAGCGGUGAAAUGCGUAGAUAUCAAGAGGAAUACCUGAGGUGAAGACGGGUUGCUAGGCCGACACUGACGCUGAAGCGCGAAAGCCAGGGGAGCAAACGGG